This 81-nucleotide non-coding RNA is filed under the name Sus scrofa (pig). The record is from RNAcentral. Lineage: Eukaryota; Metazoa; Chordata; Mammalia; Artiodactyla; Suidae.
CCAGCCGGUGUUCAUGCCCCAUAGGUUCCCGGGGUGGCCGAGAGCCGCCCCUCAGUGCUGCGGGGUGACCACCUGUUUGCC